GGUGGUUCUCAGGUGACACACCCCAGAAUUGGGCUCCCUCCUCUCUGGUUCUGGGUGCGUUACCCAAGAACCGCA
Molecule: non-coding RNA, 75 nt
Organism: Myotis brandtii (Brandt's bat)
Lineage: Eukaryota; Metazoa; Chordata; Mammalia; Chiroptera; Vespertilionidae
Source: Rfam